CCUACGGGGGGCUGCAGUGGGGAAUAUUGCACAAUGGGGGAAACCCUGAUGCUGCAACGCCGCGUGAGCGAUGAAUGCCUUCGGGUCGUAAAGCUCUGUCCUAAGGGAAGAAUACUGACGGUACCUUAGGAGGAAGCCCCGGCUAACUACGUGCCAGCAGCCGCGGUACUACGGAGGGAGCUAGCGUUAUCCGGAAUUACUGGACGUAAAGGGUGCGUAGGCGGCUCUUCAAGUCAGAGGUGAAAGGCUACGGCUCAACCGUAGUAAGCCUUUGAAACUGUAGGGCUUUAGUGCAAGAGAGAAGAGUGGAAUUCCUAGUGUAGCGGUGAGAUGCGUAGAUAUUGGGAGGAACACCAGUUGCGCAGGCGGCUCUCUGGACUGUAACUGACGCUGAGGCACGAAAGGGUGGGGAGCGAACAGGAUUAGAUACCCGAGUAGUC
RNAcentral lists this ribosomal RNA (440 nucleotides) under uncultured bacterium. Its description in RNAcentral is "bacterial SSU rRNA". It matches the Rfam family "Bacterial small subunit ribosomal RNA", at positions 338 to 795 of the family's 1533-position model. The record is from RNAcentral.